AUGCUGCGACAAGGCUGUUUUGCAGAGAGUGAAGCCUCUGUGAUUACAGCUUGUGUUCAGGUCUGUGAGACUAAAAAAAAAAAAAAAUUGUCUUGAUUAAUAAUUCAGACUUUAAAAAUGACAACUUCAUUUUGUUUUCUUCACAGGAACCAAAAGGUUAAAAGGUUGUCGUAUACCCUCUAAAAUCUAAAAGGCCUCACAACCCCUGUGAAGCUUUGGCGACCCUUGGUAACAAGGGGAACAAGUGUGCUAGAUAGCAGUUUUAUAAGCCGUUUGACUCUUCCACUCCAAUUUAACAACAUAUUGCUUGUGUGUUACAGGUAAACUGUGACAAAUACAGAUCACAGUGCUCUGUAUGCAUUGCCUCACUUUCUCAUUACUAUCAUGAUGUUGAUGUCUGUCCUUGAUGAGUGACUGUGUUUGUGAGUGAAUCCCAGAUGAGAAUUUCAAAGUUAAUGGUGCACUGGAUUUCCAGCGAUUGCUCAACAAGGCACUACAAAAAGGGAGCUCACGACCUGCAGAGCACAUCUGAGGAAUCAGCACUGCAGUGGGACAGUUUACCAGAGUUAAUAAUUACCUGGAUUUCCAUCAAUGACACAAUAUAAAGGGAGCUCACGACCUGCAGAGCACAUCUGAGGAAUCAAACUCCAGUGGAACAAUUUACCAGAGAUCAGUAAACAGGCACGUGAGAACAUGAAGACUGUGAUUCUUGCUCUUGUGGUGUUGCUGGUUGUCAGCCAGGGUGAAGCCUUGAGGUGCUACUGUGGAGGUCAUACACACUGUUCAGGCCAUAUACAGACCUGCUCUGGUUCAAAUCAAGUCUGUGCCAGAAUCACCUUUAUGCAUGGCUGCUCAACUGUCAUGCAGCUGCCUGGCACUAGUGGAUGCUACAGAGCCAUCAGACAGUGGUCCCCUCCCCAGGGUAAUGCUCAGGAAGACUGGAGUUUUAAAACAGCACGGUGGGAAAUUGGAGAGAUUUUCUCUCACAAAACCAGUGCAGUUUGGAAGGAUUUUGACCUAGAAAAUGAAAACAAGGUAGCCACACUCAGACCAAUUUGACACUGUUCACCUGGAGAUGCUGUGAUCCCGCCUGGUCUGAGAAGAUAACCCAGCUCAUCACGACAAUGACCUCCCAAGAUAUGCUUCCACUUAACAUCGUUGAAGAUUACAGCUACUUCCAGAGUUGCUACGAUGUAAGAGCCUGUAGGGGACUGGUUAAUUCAAGUGGAUACUCCAGCAGAUGCUGCUUGACUGAUCUGUGCAACUGAUAAAUCAAAAUUAUCUUCAGCCAUGUCUUGUGAACUUUAGUGUUGUCAAAAUAAAGAUCAAUCAAGUUGCA
Epinephelus fuscoguttatus (brown-marbled grouper) is the source of this 1339-nucleotide long non-coding RNA. RefSeq lists it as uncharacterized. The transcript is spliced from 6 exons. Lineage: Eukaryota; Metazoa; Chordata; Actinopteri; Perciformes; Serranidae. The record is from RefSeq and is a predicted model, not a curated record.